UACGUAGGUGGCGAGCGUUGUCCGGAAUUACUGGGUGUAAAGGGCGUGUAGGCGGGGCAUUAAGUCAGAUGUGAAAUUCCGGGGCUCAACUCCGGGGCUGCAUCUGAAACUAAAGUUCUUGAGUGCUGGAGAGGGAAGCGGAAUUCCUAGUGUAGCGGUGAAAUGCGUAGAUAUUAGGAGGAACACCAGUGGCGAAGGUGGCUUCCUGGACAGUAAAUGACGCUGAGGCGCGAAAGCGUGGGGAGCAAACAGG
This 253-nucleotide ribosomal RNA is filed under the name uncultured bacterium. RNAcentral describes it as "partial 16S ribosomal RNA". It matches the Rfam family "Bacterial small subunit ribosomal RNA", at positions 524 to 776 of the family's 1533-position model. The record is from RNAcentral.